RNAcentral lists this long non-coding RNA (212 nucleotides) under Elaeis guineensis (African oil palm). RNAcentral describes it as "long non-coding RNA (EGUI_LNC011519)". Lineage: Eukaryota; Viridiplantae; Streptophyta; Magnoliopsida; Arecales; Arecaceae. The record is from RNAcentral.
CUCUACAGAUUUCUCUGUCUAGUUUAUCUCUUUACAACUUUCUCUUUCUAGAAUCUUUCUAUCCCUUCAUGGAUUUCUCUUUAGAAAUUUUAUGGACUAGUGAAGCUCUAGGUAUUUCGAUAAACUGGAUCAAUUGGUUGACCCUACGAGGGUCCUUAGAUCUAUAAUAUUUAGAUAUUUUUCAUAAUUUUUAUCGUUCAUGAUUAUCUAUG